RNAcentral lists this long non-coding RNA (1016 nucleotides) under Olea europaea subsp. europaea. Lineage: Eukaryota; Viridiplantae; Streptophyta; Magnoliopsida; Lamiales; Oleaceae. The record is from RNAcentral.
AAAAAUUUGAAAAUUUGCCAGUUGCAAAAGUCGUCUAAUUAUUUGAAGAGACGAAUGGUGGAUGAGUAACUAUAUAAAAAAAUGAGUGAUUAUUCAGUAAGCCAUGAAAGAUAAUUGAGCAAAUAGUAACCAAGUCUAAAUUUCAGUGAGUAUUGGUUACUACGGGUGAAAGACAGACGCAGAGAGGGAUGAAUAAGAAAUUUGGAGGGAAGCAGGCGACGGGAACUCCGUCGUUGGCAUGGUCGUGUGUCGUUGUCAUUGUGUCGCUUCUCGCUGGCGCUUCUGUUGUGCAUAAUAUAUUCAAGCCUGAUUUGGUAAAUUCUUUCUACAUGCAAUUGCAUUUACUCACAAAUUUCGCUAGCUAAUUUACACUGUUUAUGGAGUCCCCUACAUCGCUUAUACUUGAAAACAAUUAGCUUUGUUGUAAGUGAUUCAAUUUCUGUGUUUGUAUUGGGGCUUUUCUAGUCCUCUACGACCUGUUUGAUAAAAUGCUCCAUUGGGACUUGUUUGUUCGCUGGGUGGAUUCGACUAUAUUAAGAAAGAAAAAGAUACUAAAUUCUUGUCCAUUGUAGCAUCACGAUGUUUCUUUUCAUUAUCUUUUCUUUCUGAGUUGUUAGUAUUUAUUUUUCUUGUUAAAACUCUGAACAAUGGGUAUUAUUGAACUCUAGUAACUGCAUCUAGUGUAUGUGAUUUGUGCAGACAAUGCCUCCUGGAAGCACACAUGGGACUGAGCAGGAACAAGUAGAGAAGACAUGAGUUCCAAAACUUGAGCACCAUGAAACUGGCGUUAUAUUUUUUCUUUUUGAAUUACUUGUAAUGCUUGAACCCUAUUUUCCAAGCUAAAGGAAAGGGCAUUCCCUUAUUUCGCAUGACUGUACAAUUCAAUUAACUAUUAGAGCAUGACAACAAUUUUUGUUUGCAGAGCCAAUUUUGCUGAGUAUUUCACACUAUUUUCCUGCUUUCUGCUGUCUUCCUUACUGUUUCAAUGAUAUCAGUAACCUCCUUUCGAGAGAAAA